Molecule: long non-coding RNA, 692 nt
Filed under: Ricinus communis (castor bean)
Lineage: Eukaryota; Viridiplantae; Streptophyta; Magnoliopsida; Malpighiales; Euphorbiaceae
Description: long non-coding RNA (RCOM_LNC001758)
Source: RNAcentral
AAUUAUCAGCCUGUAUUUCUUAUAAUGAUAGGUUACCUAGAUCUAGUUCCAUAGAUUUAUAGGAGAACCCCUGCUAGGUGUUGUUCAAUUUCUUGUUUUUAUCGAUAAAUCUAGCAGAGUUGUAUUAACUGAUUCAUGUAGAAAGGGAUUGAAAAAAAAAAACAAAAAAAGGAAAAAUAAAUAGGCCACACAAGCAGGUGCUAGAAGAAAGUAGCGGUACAAUUGUAAUAAAAGACUGGGAUCAGAGGCAAUAGGUUUUAUCACGAGAAAAGGGAAAAAAAACAAAAAACAAAAAACAAAAAGAAGAAGAAGAAGAAGAAGUAGAAGAAGAAGACAAAGAAGAAGAAGGAGAACCUAGUAUAGCUGCUAGCUGCUGUCCAAACUCCAGAUUCAGGAGCAGUAAAUGGUUGUAUUUGCAAGAACGUCUUGUAGCAGGUUCAUGAUCAAGGGUCCAAUAUGAACUGAUGAUGCCUGAAAACAUAAUAGAAGGGAACUGAAGACAAGCUGGAAAUUGGAGCAUUAACAAACAUUUUCCAAGCAGCAGUUCAUCACCUCGAGAAGGUAUAGAUGCCGGUAAUUAGUACUGAAUUUUUCACCGAAUCUUCCUAUUAAAACUCGCAAAAUUUUAAUAUCUUGGGGUAAGGUCAUUUUUUAAUGUUUUAUUUCCUGCGUUAAGAUACUUAUAAUGGGAG